This 540-nucleotide long non-coding RNA is filed under the name Daucus carota (carrot). Its description in RNAcentral is "long non-coding RNA (DCAR_LNC003359)". The record is from RNAcentral. Lineage: Eukaryota; Viridiplantae; Streptophyta; Magnoliopsida; Apiales; Apiaceae.
UUAACUUAAAAACCCAGAAGCCGGGCUUGUAAGCCCGUGCCAAACACCCCCGUAGGUUGUCGAUUUUACUGUUUUACUUUACUGCUUAGAUUGUGUUCAACACGACUUGAGACUGUUUGUUUGGAAGUUUUGCGUUCUGCUCUUUUUUUAGGGGAUGAAGAGUUGACAUUUGCUUUUGUAUAUUUUGGCCAGUCUUCACCUUUGGCAAAGCCGAGGGGAUGAUUCGCCUUCUCCAUGAAGAAUAACUGGGCUACAUCGAUCAUCUAGCAGCACGACAACGAGAGGGAGCAGGUUGAUUCUGAAAACGUUUUUAGACUAUCUAAAUUAAAUAGUACCUCCUUGCUGAAGCGAAACUUGUUGCAGUGUCACAUCAGUCCAUGUCCUUGCCUCAUCGCACACAUGAAGGAUCAACCAUUUAUCUGGCUUCAAGUAAUUCUUAAGGGCGUUUCUACACAGAGAUUAAAGAUUGUUUCAGCUCAAGUGUAAACUAUGACACCCUCCUUGUUUACUCAACAGUCACCUGCCUGGGUUUUCCUCGUA